GAUGAACGCUGGCGGCGUGCCUAAUACAUGCAAGUCGAGCGAACGGACGAGAAGCUUGCUUUUCUGAUGUUAGCGGCGGACGGGUGAGUAACACGUGGAUAACCUACCUAUAAGGCUGGGAUAACUUCGGGAAACCGGAGCUAAUACCGGAUAAUAUUUUGAACCGCAUGGUUCAAAAGUGAAAGACGGUCUUGCUGUCACUUAUAGAUGGAUCCGCGCUGCAUUAGCUAGUUGGUAAGGUAACGGCUUACCAAGGCAACGAUGCAUAGCCGACCUGAGAGGGUGAUCCGCCACACUGGAACUGAGACACGGUCCAGACUCCUACGGGAGGCAGCAGUAGGGAAUCUUCCGCAAUGGGCGAAAGCCUGACGGAGCAACGCCGCGUGAGUGAUGAAGGUCUUCGGAUCGUAAAACUCUGUUAUUAGGGAAGAACAUAUGUGUAAGUAACUGUGCACAUCUUGACGGUACCUAAUCAGAAAGCCACGGCUAACUACGUG
Molecule: ribosomal RNA, 497 nt
Filed under: uncultured bacterium
Lineage: Bacteria
Description: partial 16S ribosomal RNA
Rfam family: Bacterial small subunit ribosomal RNA
Source: RNAcentral